Molecule: ribosomal RNA, 465 nt
Filed under: uncultured bacterium
Lineage: Bacteria
Description: partial 16S ribosomal RNA
Rfam family: Bacterial small subunit ribosomal RNA
Source: RNAcentral
GACGAACGCUGGCGGCGUGCUUAACACAUGCAAGUCGAACGGAAAGGCCCUGCUUGCAUGGUACUCGAGUGGCGAACGGGUGAGUAACUCGUGGGUGGUCUGCCCUGCACUUCGGGAUAAGCCUGGUAAACUGGGUCUAAUACCGGCUAGGUGCCAUCUUUAAUGUGAUGGUUGGAAAGUUUUUUGGGUGUAGGCUGAGCUCGCGGCCUAUCGGCUUGUUGGUGGGGUAAUGGCCUACCAAGGCGGCGACGGGUAGCCGGACUUAGAGGGUGGACGGCCACCUAGAGACUUAGGGACGGCCGAGACUCCUACGGGAGGCAGCAGUGGGGAAUAUUGACCGAUGGGCGCAGGCCUGAUGCAGCGACGCCGCGUGGGGGAUGACGGUCUUCGGGUUGUAGACCCCUUUCGCGAGGGAAGAAGCUUUUAGUGACGGUACCUAGAUAAGAAGCACCGGCUAACUACGUG